Molecule: non-coding RNA, 112 nt
Filed under: Thermoanaerobacter sp.
Lineage: Bacteria; Bacillati; Bacillota; Clostridia; Thermoanaerobacterales; Thermoanaerobacteraceae
Also listed under: 1 other name
Description: SAM-I sequence
Rfam family: SAM riboswitch aptamer (S box leader)
About the family: The SAM riboswitch is found upstream of a number of genes which code for proteins involved in methionine or cysteine biosynthesis in Gram-positive bacteria. The SAM riboswitch acts at the level of transcription termination control.
Source: RNAcentral
CUCUUAUCAAGAGUGGUGGAGGGACUGGCCCGAUGAAACCCGGCAACCGGCAUUUAUAUGCGUCUGGUGCCAAAUCCUGCAGGUUAGAUUAUUCUAACCUGAGAGAUGAGAG